AUUGAACGCUGGCGGCAUGCCUUACACAUGCAAGUCGAACGGUAACAGGCCGUAGCUUGCUGACUUGCUGCGGAGUGGCGAGUAAUUCAUCAGAACGUGCCCAGCGGCGGGGUGUAACGCAACAACAACUGUACUCAUACCCCAAUUCCUCUUAGCAUCACAGCAGGGGAGCAGGCAGCAAUGUUUCCCCUCGCGCCCUUGUAUGCCCCGAUGUCAGAUUAGGUAGUAGGUGGGGUAAAGGCCUACCUAGGCGACGAUCUGUAGCUGGUCUGAGAGGAUGACCAGCCACACUGGAACUGAGACACGGUCCAGACUCCUACGGGAGGCAGCAGUGGGGAAUAUUGGACAAUGGGCGCAAGCCUGAUCCAGCAAUGCCGCGUGUGGGAAGAAGGCCUUCGGGUUGUAAAGCACUUUUGGAGGGAAGGAAAAGGGUAUAGCUAAUACCUGUGGCUGAUGACGGUACCGUAAGAAUAAGCACCGGCUAACUACGUG
This 492-nucleotide ribosomal RNA is filed under the name uncultured bacterium. RNAcentral's name for it is "partial 16S ribosomal RNA". It matches the Rfam family "Bacterial small subunit ribosomal RNA", at positions 30 to 507 of the family's 1533-position model. The record is from RNAcentral.